AGUGAGGAAUUUUGGUCAAUGGACGGAAGUCUGAACCAGCCAAGUCGCGUGAAGGAAGGCGGCCCUAAGGGUUGUAAACUUCUUUUGUAAGGGAAUAAAGGUCGGUACGUGUACCGGUUUGCAAGUACCUUACGAAUAAGGAUCGGCUAACUCCGUGCCAGCAGCCGCGGUAAUACGGAGGAUCCGAGCGUUAUCCGGAUUUAUUGGGUUUAAAGGGUGCGCAGGCGGGGGAUUAGGUCGGCGGUGAAAUAUCAGGGCUCAACCUUGAGAGUGCCGUCGAAACCGGUUUUCUUGAGUGCGGAUGAAGUAGGCGGAAUUUGUGGUGUAGCGGUGAAAUGCGUAGAUAUCACAAAGAACACCGAUUGCGGAGGCAGCUUACUAAACCGCAACUGACGCUCAUGCACGAAGUCGUGGGGAUCAAACAGGAUUAGAUACCCUGGUAGUCCACGCAGUAAACGAUGAUUACUAGCUGUUUGCGAUACAAUGUAAGCGGCUGAGCGAAAGCGUUAAGUAAUCCACCUGGGGAGUACGUUCGCAAGAAUGAAACUCAAAGGAAUUGACGGGGGCCCGCACAAGCGGAGGAACAUGUGGUUUAAUUCGAUGAUACGCGAGGAACCUUACCCGGGCUUGAAAUGCAUCUGACCGGGCCGGAAACGGUCUUUCCCAGCGAUGGGCAGAUGUGUAGGUGCUGCAUGGUUGUCGUCAGCUCGUGCCGUGAGGUGUCGGCUUAAGUGCCAUAACGAGCGCAACCCUCAUCGUCAGUUACCAUCGGGUAAAGCCGGGGACUCUGACGAGACUGCCAUCGUAAGAUGCGAGGAAGGUGGGGAUGACGUCAAAUCAGCACGGCCCUUAUGUCCGGGGCGACACACGUGUUACAAUGGGCGGUACAGCGGGGAGCUACCUGGCGACAGGGAGCCGAUCCCGAAAGCCGCUCACAGUUCGGAUCGGAGUCUGCAACUCGACUCCGUGAAGCCGGAUUCGCUAGUAAUCGCGCAUCAGCCACGGCGCGGUGAAUACGUUCCCGGGCCUUGUACACACCGCCCGUCAAGCCAUGGGAGUCGGGGGUACCUGAAGUUCGUAACCCUUCGGGGAGCGACCUAGGGUAAGACCGGUGACUGGGGCU
This 1123-nucleotide ribosomal RNA is filed under the name uncultured bacterium. Its description in RNAcentral is "bacterial SSU rRNA". It matches the Rfam family "Bacterial small subunit ribosomal RNA", at positions 353 to 1482 of the family's 1533-position model. The record is from RNAcentral.